CCUACGGGAGGCAGCAGUGAGGAAUAUUGGUCAAUGGCCGGAAGGCUGAACCAGCCAAGCCGCGUGAAGGACGAAGGUGCCAAGCAUUGUAAACUUCUUUUGUCAAGGGACAAAAUCAGGCUCGAGAGCCUGACCGAGGGUACUUGAAGAAAAAGCAUCGGCUAACUCCGUGCCAGCAGCCGCGGUAAUACGGGGGAUGCGAGCGUUAUCCGGUUUUAUUGGGUUUAAGGGGUGCGUAGGCGGACUGGUAAGUCAGCGGUAAAAUCCCGGGGCUAAACCCCGGCGAGCCGUUGAAACUGGCUGUCUUGAGAUGUCGAGAGGUAUGCGGAAUGCGCAGUGUAGCGGUGAAAUGCUUAGAUAUUGCGCAGAACUCCGAUUGCGAAGGCAGCAUACCGGCGGCGAUCUGACGCUGAGGCACGAAAGCGUGGGUAUCGAACAGGAUUAGAUACCCGUGUAGUC
Molecule: ribosomal RNA, 459 nt
Filed under: uncultured bacterium
Lineage: Bacteria
Description: partial 16S ribosomal RNA
Rfam family: Bacterial small subunit ribosomal RNA
Source: RNAcentral